Long non-coding RNA from Galleria mellonella (greater wax moth), 6965 nucleotides. RefSeq lists it as uncharacterized. NCBI's taxonomy places the organism in Eukaryota, Metazoa, Arthropoda, Insecta, Lepidoptera, Pyralidae. The record is from RefSeq and is a predicted model, not a curated record. The transcript has 3 exons.
UGGGUGAAAAUGUUAUGGCAACCCUGCCUGCGCUAAUGGGAUACGCCGGCGGAGCACCAGUGAAGGGUGAUAGAUGAGAAUUAAAACAGGCCAGUUAGCCCAUCAUGAUGAAUUCAUCAGGAAUUAACCAUGAUAGUUUCCAGGGGGAACCGCGAGGAGUUCGACCUGGUUGGGUAUAUUGCUAGCAAUGGGAUUCUUAGUCUCUAUUACUAACAAUCCUUUUUCCCCUGGUGAGGAUGAAGUUAGAUCAGUUGGCCCAUUUCCAGAACAUGUGGUAUGGACCCAUGUGGUAUGGGUGGACCGCGUAAAUUUUUUUUUAAUUAAUGGAUAACAAUGGAAUGGUAAUCCCGCCUGCGCUAACGGUAUACAGUGGCGGGACACCAGUAAGAGGUGAUAGGUGAGGAAGAAAAGGCAGGUCAGUUAGCCCAUCGUGAUGAAUACACCUGGAAUUCCGCACGAUGGUUUCCAGUGUAUAUUGGUAGUAACGUGAUUAGUUAUUUGCAAUACUAACAAUCUCUUCCCCCACCACAAUGGUUUUCAGGAUGCACCGCGUGUGGCGUGAAGCAGUUAUGUUUGCAUGACUAUGUUUCGGUUUGAAAGGUAGGCCUAUACUACUGUUCAUGUCUAAAGGCGACAGUUACCACUUUCUAUCAAGUGGGCUAUCAGCUUAUUUGCCAUUAUAAGUAUCAUAAUUCGUUAUCACUACGGGUUCCAUUUGCCCAGGGUGUAACAACCAUGGGGUGUCCACAGAUGCAGAGCAGUCUUGCCCAGGGCAUGUUCUUGGCUGGUGGACGAGGGGCGUACGCUGGAGCCGCGCUGCAGGGUCCCCUAGCUUAUUUGGAAAAGACCGCCACUAAUAUAGACAUGGUGGGACUUGGGGAUGGAAGGAGGUGACGCGGUCGCGGGAGGGGCAGGGGUCGGGGCCGCGGCAGAGGUCGAGGUCGUGGAGCAUCCCCUGAAUAUGGCGGCAGCAUGACGCCGCCAUAGCGCGCCCCUCUCCCGGCGCACACGGACGCACACACACACGCCCCCACGUCCACAUGCACACACAGCACACACACACAGUACGGCGCAAGCGCAGACACUGGUUUUUUAUAAUUUUACUGGCUUUGUAAAAAAAAUUUGGCUUUUUAUUUUAACGACUGCCUUAAAAAAAAGGAGUGUAUUGUUUUCAGGUUCAUGUAUGUGAGUUUAUUCCGCCAUAAAUUUUAAAUGCCUGUAAAGAUUUAGAUGUAUGAGAUAUUGUUAAAAUCCUUACAUCAUCCUGAGCAAUACUGGUUAUUUUUUUUUUACUUUUACUUAUUUUUUUUUAAAAAAGGCAGUCGUGUUUUUUUUCUGUGUAGCUUGUUUUUUUAUGUUGGUGUUGGUAGUAGGUACUCUGAUAUGAUAGCCGACGAGAGAGUCUAAGAUACAGACAUCACCAUUUCAUGGAAAUCUUCAGGAAUCAUUUACCUACAAGCAGAUUUUUUUAAAUACAGCACUAAUUUAUCUGAAUCAAUAUUAUAAAAAGGAAAGAUUUGAUUUUUUACUUGUAAUGAAUAAACUGGAAAAAUACUUAAUCGGUUUUGAAAUAAUAUCAUUUUUAGAAAGCUACAUUUUCACUUUUUUUUAUACCACUGAGGUGGCAAACAAGCAUACGGCCUACCUGAUGGUAAGCGAUCACUGACUAACAUGGGUUGUAUUCUAUCAAAAAAAAAAAAAACUGCAAAAUAAUCGAGUAGGAAAAAAAAACAAUGGAACAUGUAAUGUCCCGAUUCAAAUGUUCCGAAUCGAUGCAACGUUGUAACCUUCAAGGAAAGAGCAUUACUCCUUUUUAAAAGGCCGGCAACAUAUCUGCAAUGCAGUUGGUGUCGUGAGUGAUCAUGGGCGGCGGUAGUCACUUACCAUCGAGUGAGCCGCACGCUCGUUUAUGUCGCCCCUUAUGUUACAAAAAAAAAAAACAUACCAUACAGACUUCUUUCGUCUACUCUAUAUUUAUUAAUCUGCAGACGCCAUUAUCAACACCGCUUUUUAUAAGUUUUAAUUUUUCUUAAGAAAAAAAAAGUAUUUUUAUUUUUUAAUUCCAUUGACGCGCAGUGCACGAUGUAAAAAGUUUAUAAAUAUAAAUGUAUUAACAAUACUAAACUGAUCCAUUGCUAACCAGUAAGUAUGGAAUUUUAUUAUCAAUAAAAUAUCUCUUUUGGUAUUCAUGGUAUGGUACACUGUACAUUUUUUUAACAAAUAUUUAAAAUUGGCAUUAUGCAGAAAACUUAUCUCUCUCAACUUAUUGUAAUUUCAUUUAGUUUUGUUUGUAAUUUGUAUGAAUAAUUUAUAGAUACUAGUAAACUUAUUCUACCCUAGUUAAAAGAAUCUGACGAUAGAUAAGUUUUCGUUAACACACAUAUAAGUGUAGGCGUAUUUAAAAGGGGUCUAAUUGGGCCGUGUCCAUCUUAGAAUUGUUUGGUUCCCAUCCUGGGAGUAACGAAGCUUUUAGCUAUCGGUAAUACCAUGUCUGGAGAGUGCAUAUACGGCAUGGCCUCCCUGGAAAAUAAUCUUAAAUACGUUAAUGCUUAUAAGAAGAGAACGCUUGAUAUUGCUAUCUCUUUCUGUUUGACAGGCAGCAGCGAUAACUCAUCUAUUAAUUCAGUUUUCGUUUUUAACUAAAUAAAAUAAAGCCUUCACCUCAUGUUAGUAACAAUAUUAAUAUAAUAAGAGUAUAAAUUCGACUGGUUAAAAAUGGAUUAGUUUAAAAACUGCACAAAAAAUAUUUCCCAGCAAGUCUACCAUCACGGAAUGGAAUUAAGCACUAUAUGUUUUUUUUUUAUUUCUGUUCUAUGAAAAGCCGUUAUAUAGGCAGCACAGUUAUGGACCUUAGCCUGUUACUCACGGAAAGGACACACAACGAAAUAAUUACACAAAAUUAGGCUGUAUAGCAAUGUACCUUUGUAUUUCCAUUUUCGAUAACUGUAACUAGUAUAGACUAUUUCAAUGGAAUUUAAUAAAAAUAUAAAAAAAAGCAAUGACUGACUUGGUCAUAAGACAGUUCGCUGAUGUCCAACAGUAGUACAAAUAAAAAUUAGAUUAAUCAAUUGAAUGUUUCGAUUUGUUACUAAUUCUAUUUAGAAAGUGUUUCUGUGAUAAUUUCAAUUUGUUUUUACAUUUUCAUUAAGUUUCGUUAAAACUGGCUAUAAUUCAAAUAAAAAUAAUAAAUUGCAACUCAUGAUGCUUAGAUUAUAUAUUUUUUUUUUUUUAGUACGUUUGUUCCGUUUGGAACAGGCUAAGGUCGGAGACCAUGCUGCCUAGUCUUCAAAAAGAUAAAUUGUCUGGAAUUUAGAUUAUAUAGAGUCUAAUGUCUAAAAUGUGUCAAAAUUUAGUCAGCUAAUUUGACGGUUGACUUUUUUUUUCAUAUCAUAAUAACGCAUUAUUCGCGCUUUUUUUCAGUGUUACCAGUAAUUAGAUUAAAAAUCCCUAGAGUUGGUCGAUUGUUUAAAUUUGUAUUGGGAACUAUAUUCUCUAGUGUAAAGUAAAGAUACAUAUGUACGCAUUGCUUAAUAAAUAAUAUACUUAUAUUAAUUAAAAUGGCGACCAUUUUUAAUUAUUUACAAAUGAAAACAUAUUUUAAGGAUAUAUUCGGAUAUAAAUAUAUAUAAUCAGUAAAUAUAUGCGUCAUUCUGAAUAAUUAUGCACUGUUAAUCUUGUACUUUUAAAUAUAUUUAUAGGAAUAUUGUAUAAUUUUUUUAUUUUUCAUUGUGAUCUUAAUUUCUCCUAUAUGUUAACUGGGGGGAAAGGGAUUGUUAGUAAUGGAGACUAAGAAUCCCAUUGCUAGCAAUAUACCUAACCAGGUCGACCUCCUCGCGGUUCCCCCUGAUAACUAUCAUGGUUAAUUCCUGAUGAAUUCAUCAUGAUGGGCUAACUGACCUGUUUUCAUUCUCAUCUAUCACCCUUCACUGGUGCUCCGUCAGCGUAUCCCGUUAGCGCAGGCGGGGUUACCAAUACCAUUUUCACCCAACAAAAAAAAAAAAAAAAAAACAGUAUAUACUGGUAACCCUCGAUAAAAAAAAAUUCCCGUUAUUUUUAGUAAAUCAUUUGUACGUAGAUACUAUGUCUAUAUAAUCUAAGCAUUCUAAACUAUGAUGGUAGUCCUGCUAGAUGGGAUCACUUUCUAUAAUCAAUGUGAAUUAAUAAGAUGAACUAAAAUAAGGUCGAUAUAUGAAGAAAAUCAAUAAUAAUCUAUUUUGAAGUAUAUAAACAUCUGUGUGCGUAAAACUAGAUAAUGUAUAAUAAGUAAAUAUAGCUCUUAAUAAGUAUUAAUAAGGUGCAAACUCUAAAACUGGCAAUGGACCGCUUCUGACAGCUAUUUCUCUAAAUCUAUCACUUAAUAUAAUAUUUUAAUUCGAUAAUUUGAUGAUCACCGCCUUACUGUCCGACUCGACCCACUGAAACUGCGCAGAGAUGUUGCAUCUCUGUGCAUCUUCUAUCGAAUUUAUCAUGGGGAGUGCUCUGAGGAAUUGUUCGGAUUGAUACCUGCUGCUGAUUUUCACCACCGUACAACCCGCCACAAACUAAAGUUUCAUCCCGAUCAUCUGGACGAGUGGCGGUCCUUCACCGUGCGUUUUUCAAGGCACUUUCUCCACGCACAACCACUCUUUGGAAUCAACUUCCAGCAGCAGUGUUUUCGAACCGAUACGACAUCAUAACCUUCGAGAAAAGAGCAUAUUCCUUUUUAAAAGACCGGCACCUGCAAUGCCGCUAGUGUUGUGGGAGAUCAUGGGCGGCGGUAGUCACUUACCACCAGGUGAGCCGCAUGCCCGUUUGCCCCCUGUGUUGUAAAAAAAAUUAACAAUUUUACGGAAUUAUUGUUUUUAGUAAUCAAAUUAUAAACUAAAGGUCUAAUUUUGACUUAAAUGUAUUAGUAAAUGAGUUAAUAUUGUUCCUUACUUUAAAGAUUUCGUUGCGAUAUCAAAUUGAAAUUUUAAUUUUAGAGACGUUCAGAGAGAUGGCGCCACUGAUUCGGUCCCAAUGUCUGGAUUAUCUGUGUAAUUUUAAGAAGUAUUUGAUUAUGUUUUAAACUCACUUUUUGCCCGACCAUGAUAGUAGCAAUAUAGUUGCAAUUUUAUUAUAAUAAUAAAAUUAUUUUAAUUUAGGUUCAAUUUUUACAGAUAAAAGGGACAUUGCUAGUUUUACAAUGCGACCUAUUUAGUGGUCGUUCCCACAUAUAGUAUAUGUCACAUAUGUGUAAGUAUAUUUGUUAUUCAUAUAUAUUUAUUCGUUUAUAUAUGUAAUUUUAAUAUGUAUGUAUAUCAAUAAUUACUAGUACCGCAUUCGAGUAUUCUGACACUUGCCUAUGGUUGACUGGGAGAGAAUGCUUUUAGCAUUAAGUCCGCCAUGUACACAUAUUUAUACUGAUGAAUAAAUAAAUAAAAAAAUACUGGUCUAAUAACGAAUAUGUUAAAAGUUUCUUAUACAAAUAAUAAUAUUGGAUAACAGACUUUUAACAUAUUGGUAGAUAGAUAUCCGACCGAUAUGGACGAUAUCGCAAUGGGUGAUGACCUUUUUCCCGCCAUCAAUAUCCAGUGAAACCCAAUAUAUAGAUAUCAGAUCGGUAGCCAUAUUUAUUUGUUAUAAGUUACAGUAAAAGUUUGCAAACAAAAAUGAAACAUUAAAAAGAAAACAAUACAAAAAUUUAUCAAUGUUUUUUUAUACAACUUAGAAUGGCAAACAAACUGACGGCCCACCUGAUGGAAAGUGGUAACCGUCGCCUAUACACAUGAGCAGUACCAUGGACAUAACAGAGCAUACUGUUUCGCCCAUGAUACAUCCCAUGCGUUGCCAUUUCUGAGGACUUAGGUGUUAUUCCUCUGUACCCUGUAAAUUCACGCCAAUACGCAGUAUUGCCAGCCUUACAUUGUAAACAUCGUUUAACACUAAGUUAGAAGUAAACGCUGUAACGCUUUUAUAGAUGUACCUUACAUUACUGAUUACAGUUAUGAUCCAAACUUAUUCCAUCUCAAAACUAUACAACGACCUCUUAAACCUAACAGUAUUCUGAUGAAGUUAUUACCCAUGCUUACUUCAAAAAGAAGAUACUAAACUCGGUUGUAUUUUUUUUAAUCUAAUUACCUUUUGUCAAACAUGCUUGAAAAUGUGAGCAUUAUUUUGACAAUCUUCUUCGACAUAAAUCAAAAUUGCCGUACUGUCCAGAUACAUGCGGGCAGCGGCCGGCAAGAGUUGUAUGAAAAUCCAUAUCUGUCGUGUUUUGCGGCCAGAUAAAUUACUAUGUAAACUCGUAUCUGUCCUGUAAUUUAAAAAUGGAAUGACCUUUUACUUCGAAACAUGGCUACCAAGGAGGUAACUAAUACAAGGUUUUAUUUAAAUUUCGAACUGGCUUGCAAAUAGAAAGCUUGAUUGAAAAAAAAACAAAGGAACAUUAUGGCGCGUGAAUAAUUAUUAUUGUUCGUUCUUCGUCAUUGAACUUAAAAAGUAAAAUUGUGUUUUUGAUUUCCGCGUAUUGUUUGAGAAAAGUACUAUACGAGCCUUAGCCACAACUAGGCAUUGAUGGACUCACGUAUGUGUGCCUCGACUACGCCUCGACCCACAUUUGCACGUUCGUCCAUCAAUGCCUCAGUUGCUGGCCGCUGCAGUAAUGUACUAUAUAACUCCGCCAGCUGUAAACCGUUUUGGAAAAUUCUUUUUUUUUUUAUCUGAAAGGCUUAGAUUAUACUGAAAGGAUAUACUUACAUAUUGGUCCCAUAGAAACUUUAUCAAACUUGGUAGUUUAGUUUUUAGAUCAAUAACUAGUUUUAUCACAUUUGAUAUCGAUUUUUUUGUGGGACGUAAUCUUCUAUUAUUAUUUAUUCUAUUUUUGAAAUACAAGUAUUAAUUAGAGUAUAUUAAGUACACAGUAAAUUUGUAAAAUAAUUAAUAUAUAAGUACACAAAAAUGUUAGUUUAAAAUAAUAGUUAAUUUGGAAUUAAUAAAAAUAUUGA